Molecule: ribosomal RNA, 1491 nt
Filed under: uncultured bacterium
Lineage: Bacteria
Description: 16S ribosomal RNA
Rfam family: Bacterial small subunit ribosomal RNA
Source: RNAcentral
GAGUUUGAUCAUGGCUCACGAUAAACGCUGGCGGCAUGCCUAAUACAUGCAAGUCGAACGGAAGUAUUUAUACUUCAGUGGCGAACGGGUGAGUAACACGUGGGUAACCUACCUUAUAAACUAGGAUAACAGUUGGAAACGAUUGCUAAGACUGGAUAGUUCAUAUAAGCGCAUGCUUAAAUGAUUAAAGCUACCUUAUUAUUACUAUAAGAGGGGCCCGCGUCGCAUUACCUACUUGGUGAGAUAAUAGCCCACCAAGGCGACGAUGCGUAUCUGUGCUGAAAGGCAUAACAGCCACACUGGGACUGAGACACGGCCCACACUCCUACGGGAGGCAGCAGUAGGGAAUUUUCGGCAAUGGGCGCAAGCCUGACCGAGCAAUGCCGCGUGAACGAUGAAGAUCUUCGGAUUGUAAAGUUCUGUUGUUAGGGAAGAACAACUUAAGGAAGAGAAAGCCUUAAGCCUGACGGUACCUAACCAGAAAGCCCCGGCUAAAUAUGUGCCACCAGCCGCGGUAAUACAUAUGGGGCGAGCGUUAUCCGGAAUUAUUGGGCGUAAAGGGUGCGUAGGCGGUUUGUUAAGUCUGAUGUGAAAUAUUACAGCUUAACUGUAAAGGGUCAUUGGAAACUGGCAAACUUGAUUUACAGCAGGGGUAAGUGGAAUUCCCAAGUGGAGCGGUGGAAUGCGUAGAGAUUGGGAGGAACACCAGUAGGAAAGGCGGCUUACUGGGCUGGAACUGACGCUGAUGCACGAAAGCGUGGGGAGCAAACAGGAUUUAGAUACCCUGGUAGUCCACGCCGUAAACGUUGAGUAUUAAGUGUCGGAUGUAGAUUCGGUGCUGUAGUUAACACAUUAAAUACUCCGCCUGGGGAGUACGGUCGCAAGACUGAAACUCAAAGGAAUUGACGGGGACUCGCACAAGCGGUGGAGCAUGCGGUUUAAUUCGAUGCAACGCGAAAAACCUUACCAGGUCUUGACAUCUUGCUGAUCACUUUAGAGAUAGAGUUUCCCUUCGGGGCAGCAAAGACAGGUGGUGCAUGGUUGUCGUCAGCUCGUGUCGUGAGAUGUUGGGUUAAGUCCCACAACGAGCGCAACCCUUAUCAUUAGUUGCUAACAUUAAGUUGAGAACUCUAAUGAGACCGCCGGUGACAAACCGGAUGAAGGUGGGGAUGACGUCAAAUCAUCAUGCCCUUUAUGACCUGGGCUACACGCGUGCUACAAUGGCUGGCACAAAGAGUCGCGAGACCGCGAGGUUAAGCAAAUCUCAUAAAACCAGUCUCAGUUCGGAUUGUAGUCUGCAACUCGACUACAUGAAGUUGGAAUCGCUAGUAAUCGCAAAUCAGCAUGUUGCGGUGAAUACGUUCUCGAGUCUUGUACACACCGCCCGUCACACCACGAAAGUUUAUAAUACCCGAAGCCGGUGGCUUAACCGUAAGGAGAGAGCCGUCUAAGGUAGGAUAGAUGAUUGGGGUGAAGUCGUAACAAGGUAGC